RNAcentral lists this ribosomal RNA (253 nucleotides) under uncultured bacterium. Its description in RNAcentral is "partial 16S ribosomal RNA". It matches the Rfam family "Bacterial small subunit ribosomal RNA", at positions 524 to 776 of the family's 1533-position model. The record is from RNAcentral.
UACAGAGGUCUCAAGCGUUGUUCGGAUUCAUUGGGCGUAAAGGGUGCGUAGGCGGCGGGGCAAGUCGGAUGUGAAAUCUCAGGGCUCAACCCUGAAACUGCAUUCGAUACUGCCUUGCUCGAGGACUGGAGAGGAGAUUGGAAUUUACGGUGUAGCGGUGAAAUGCGUAGAUAUCGUAAGGAAGACCAGUGGCGAAGGCGGGUCUCUGGACAGUUCCUGACGCUGAGGCACGAAGGUCAGGGGAGCAAACGGG